Molecule: long non-coding RNA, 1098 nt
Organism: Panicum hallii
Lineage: Eukaryota; Viridiplantae; Streptophyta; Magnoliopsida; Poales; Poaceae
Exons: 6
Source: RefSeq, a predicted model, not a curated record
UCUAAGGUAAACACUUCAAACCAGCGGGCCGUACACUUGCACUUGUGCAUGGCCGCUGCAUCUGUACCAUCAAACACCACGGACACAAAUAAAAGUUCCACUCUAAUGAACCAGUUCUGCUAGACUCCAAAGGUCACACGCUAUUCUUUGUUGCCUCCGUCAUUUCACCUCCUCUCAUUUCUCUCUCUAGGUUAGCCCCUCUCUCUCUCCCCUCUCUCAUUCAGGGUCCCUUAGCGAUUCGUCUUAGUUAUCCUUGGAUCCGGCGAUUUCACAUAGUGGGAAGCGUAGAUCGGAGGUGGAGAUGCAAGGGGUGCGCACGGAGGGAUUUCUCGGCGGAGAUGCGGUGAGAUUCAGUUGGUGGUGGAGGAGCGGAUGCAUGCGAAGAGAGAGAAACCUAAAUCGAGUUGGGAGGAAGAGAAGGAGCCCCAUGUGAACUCAGGCGAAUCUUGAUUCCAUCGUCCUGCUACCAGGGGCAUGGACGAUGCGUGGCGGGUCGAGGGGACUUCGAGUAGUGCCGAUCUGCUUCCAGGAUACAUAAAAGGCAGACACAACAUCGUCGAUGAAGAACUACUGCAAGGAGAAUGUGAUGUGAUGGAAUUUUUUCUGCUCCCAGGUUAAAGAUGCUAAGGGUGACAAGUAUGGAAAGUGGAGUCCAGUUCUCAACACCCGGUUUGACCUUCCUGCUUAAGUCACAAAAUUAUUCAGCAGUGAGAGGGGGACCCAGAUUAGGUUAUAUGGUAGUGGAUAUUAGGCACUUCAACUAUUAAGAAGGGGAAGGACAUGCUAUGUGCAGUCUGCAUGCAGUACAUAUUGCGUGGUUCAUGCACUUUUUGCAAAGCGUAACCAAUCCAGUGCAUAAGUCUGAUGUGAACUACUGGAUAUCUGUUCAUGCAGUUUUUUAAGAACAACCAAGAUCUGAAUCUGAGUGAUUUUGCUGAAACCAAUAUGUGCUUUAUAUUAGGCAAUAGUGGAUCUGUUUGGGAAACCCUGAUUAAAAUUGUAGAUCAGGUUCUCAAGUUAUAGAGAAAAUAGUGGAUUUGUUAUACAUAUGUACCACGAGUAAUUUUUUUCUGAACUUCUAUUGGUUCGUUUCUAUCA